RNAcentral lists this ribosomal RNA (423 nucleotides) under uncultured bacterium. RNAcentral describes it as "partial 16S ribosomal RNA". It matches the Rfam family "Bacterial small subunit ribosomal RNA", at positions 359 to 773 of the family's 1533-position model. The record is from RNAcentral.
GAAUAUUGGACAAUGGGCGAAAGCCUGAUCCAGCCAUGCCGCGUGUGUGAAGAAGGCCUUUUGGUUGUAAAGCACUUUAAGCGAGGAGGAGGCUACUUAGAUUAAUACUCUAGGAUAGUGGACGUUACUCGCAGAAUAAGCACCGGCUAACUCUGUGCCAGCAGCCGCGGUAAUACAGAGGGUGCGAGCGUUAAUCGGAUUUACUGGGCGGAAAGGAUUCCUAGACGGCUUCUUAAGUCGGAGUUGAAAUCCCUGAGCUUAACUUAGGAAUUGCAUUCGAUACUGGGAAGCUAGAGUAUGGGAGAGGAUAUUAUAAUUCCAUGUCUAUCCGUGCAAUUCGUAGCUAUCUGGACUCAUCCCCCUCGCGAAUGCAGCCAUCUGGCCUAAUACUGACGCUGAGGUACGAAAGCAUGGGGAGCAAAC